AAGCGCCGGGUGUCAACCGGCCGCAACAGGGAUGAUGGACGUGGUGAUUUUGCCGGUUUCUAGCCACGGCAGCAACGCAUCGGUACGCGUGGCAUCUGACCUGUUCCCGGC
RNAcentral lists this small RNA (111 nucleotides) under Pseudorhodoplanes sinuspersici. Its description in RNAcentral is "Rhizobiales sRNA Atu_At1". It matches the Rfam family "Rhizobiales sRNA Atu_At1". Lineage: Bacteria; Pseudomonadati; Pseudomonadota; Alphaproteobacteria; Hyphomicrobiales. The record is from Rfam by way of RNAcentral.